Molecule: long non-coding RNA, 1316 nt
Organism: Clarias gariepinus (North African catfish)
Lineage: Eukaryota; Metazoa; Chordata; Actinopteri; Siluriformes; Clariidae
Exons: 3
Source: RefSeq, a predicted model, not a curated record
GGCACUAGGACCCUGACGUAGUACGGUCGCGAUUCAGAAAGCAUUAAAGAAGACAAGAUGGCGCUUCACAUCGCUCAGUCAUUGAGUCUGCCCAUGCCAUUUCCGGCGCUUCGCCGGAUCUUAUCUAGACAGACAAAUGCUUGGAUAGACAACAGAAUAAUCACCAUCACGUUCUGAGGUCAGCGACAAUGAAUAUAUUCCUCAAUUGGCUAAAGAAACAGUGACAGUUGAUCAGAAAAUAUCAAACAGCACAAGAUUAAGAAACAAAAGGUACAGGAAACAUUUUCAGCUGCCAUUUGGAAAGUAGAUGUUCAACCACUCAAGAGAAGGUGUACGACAAAUUCCAGUUCGCCGACUGCACCUGAGACGAAUCCUCACCUGAUGCAAAUGACUCCUGAGAUGACUCCUCACCUGAUGCGAAUGGCACCAGAGACUCAUCCUCACCUGAUGCGAAUGACUCCUGAGAUGACUCCUCACCUGAUGCGAAUGGCACCAGAGACUCAUCCUCACCUGAUGUGAAUGCCACCAGAGACUCAUCCUCAAACCAGCUCUAUGUAAAUAUACUGAGCCAGUUACAGACGGUGUGAAUGCACUGUAAAAAUACAUAAUAAAAUUACAAAAUAACUGGUGUUAUAGAAUGUUCAGCAAUGAUCUGUAGUAAUGAGAAUGCCAUUCACAAUGUGCUCAUGUUCAAGCAAAUCUGUGACACCAAAUGGAGUGAGUGUGUCAUCCAAGGUCAGGAAUUUGAGUGAGGCAAAGUUGAAUGCUCCCCAACUACUUCCUUUUGCUGUAGAUGUGAAGAAGAUGCACCAGUACCUGAGCAUACAAAGGCUGGAGUGCAAAACAAAACUUAGAAAAGAGCCAAGUAAGAAGCACUGGACAAAACUUGCAAAAAUCACAUGUUGUGAAGCACAUGGCCACAAUGUCUAUGGUCCUCAACUUGAAGGACAACGAAAAUAGAUGAUCUUGCAGACUUUCUUGGGCAUGAUAUUAGAGUACAUCGCGAUUAUUACAGGCUGCCCGAAGGGACAUUCCAUCUGGUGAAGAUAAGUAAAGUUCGCAUGGCCCUGGAACGAGGACAGCUGUCUGAAUUUAAAGGAAGAAAUCUUGAUGAGACCAACAUUAAUCCAGAAGAGGAUUUAGCUGUAGACAGCGGUGCAUUAGAUACUUCAACCUCACUUUCAUCUACACAAUCAUCAGGUAUGCAAAAUAAUCAUAGAACUUUUACUUAAAUAAAGUAUAUGAUUACUUCAUUUACUACUGAGAAUACUGCAAUACUAUGAGACCAUGAUAUUUUACCGUUGCGACUAUAAUGU